RNAcentral lists this transfer RNA (69 nucleotides) under Escherichia coli 3-475-03_S1_C1. Its description in RNAcentral is "tRNA-Lys". It matches the Rfam family "tRNA". Rfam says of the family: Transfer RNA (tRNA) molecules are approximately 80 nucleotides in length. Lineage: Bacteria; Pseudomonadati; Pseudomonadota; Gammaproteobacteria; Enterobacterales; Enterobacteriaceae. The record is from RNAcentral.
GGGUCGUUAGCUCAGUUGGUAGAGCAGUUGACUUUUAAUCAAUUGCGAGUCAUCCUGCACGACCCACCA